Molecule: non-coding RNA, 205 nt
Organism: Oryza barthii
Lineage: Eukaryota; Viridiplantae; Streptophyta; Magnoliopsida; Poales; Poaceae
Source: Rfam
AAAUAGACAAACCCUGGUUUCCGUGCCCAACGUUUGACUGUCCGUUUUAUUUGAAAAAAUUAUGAAAAAAAUUAAAAAGACAAGUCACAUACAAAAAUAUUAAUCAUGUUUUAUCAUCUAACAACAAUGAAAAUACGAAUUAUAAAAAAAAAAUUAUAUAAGACGGACAGUCAAAAUUGGACACAAAUUCAGGAUUUGUCUUUUU